UUUUUUUUUUUUUUUUUUUUUUUUUUUCCCUCACUUGCUUAUUCAUGCCUUAAUGUCACUCAGAGCCCUUUCUGUGCAUGCUCUGCAAUGCCACCGGGAUUUUCUGCACUCCCUGAACAACCUCUGGCACCUUUUUGCAGAGACACCUCACUGAGCCGGGGUUACACAGCUUCCCCUCUUGGAUUUGCCAUCCAGCAGAACGUGGCCAUUGUCAAAGUGGAAAGGGAAUAGCAGCAAAGCCUUUGGAAUGUAUAAACAGGCUGAGUGAGCCCCUCUUGGUCGCUGCUCAAGAGCAGGGACACCUCCCAGCAGACCAGCUUGACCAAGGUCUUGCCCAGGUCCAUAGCCUCCCUGAGCAACCUGUUCCAGUAUCUCACCACCCUCACAGUAAAGAAUUUAUUCAUAAUAUCCAGUCUCAGCUUCCACUUUCUCAGUCUGUAGCCACUGACUGCAGCUCCUGCAGAGUUGGAAGAGUUUUUUAAGCAGAGCUGGGUCCCAGGAGAUGGGGCUGGCAGAGCCCUCUCAGCUGCAAACAAGGCACACCACCCCUGCCCUGCAUUUUGCAUGUCUGCUCUGAACAAAGCCCUUUUCAUCUCCCAGAGGUGUUUCCUCAAGGGAUCUUGCUCCUUAAACCUCCACAUUUCCCUCCUCCUUUCCAGCUGCUGCUCCACCUGACUUCCUUUCCUGGAAGAGAAGGAAGGAGGAAUCACAAACCCUCCCACAGAUAUUGAUGCUGGUAUUUGCUGUUCCAUUUAGCAGGCACUCUUUCCUUGAGCCAUUUGCUUUCCAAGAGAUUUAUUUAGCUGUUGCUGUGAGGUCUGGUGCACCUCCAGCUUUCACUUCACUAAAAAUCCUCCUAUGGGAGCAAGAAUUGACCCUUUGCACGUGCCUAUGGGUGUUGUUCCUUUUCUGUGGGGCUGACCAGGGAUGGAUGAAGACAAAACUCCUAUAGAGGCAGCCAAAAGGCCUGUCUAGACUAAUGUGAUCUUUCAGCUUACUCAGGGAGGCUGUUUUUCCAUGCCCAAAGCACAGAUAUUUUAACUGUCUCCUUAAUUUGCUCCUUAAAGCAGUUAGCAGAAUUCCAGUCAUCAAUCAGUCGUGGCAGGCUAUCCAGAAGGCAUGGCCAGGAAUUGUGCAUUAAUUGUGAAUGCUUUGCUGAAUUUACUGCAUGGCAGCACCAGAUUUUUCACUCUGAGAUGAAGCAUGAAUGUGCUGCUUGGCACAAUCAAUACUUUUCUAGGUUGCUAGAAAAUUACCAGGGACUCAGUGCCCAUGCCUGGGGUAUUACCACCCUCCCUGGAAUGCACAGAAAUGUGUCAGCUCCUUCCCUGCACUGGAGCAUCUGCCUUGGGAACAGGCUGGGCACAAAGUGAGACCCCGUCAGCCAGGACAUCUCCAGCCGAGACAAAGGAGCCAUUAUCCCACUCAGCACUGGUCAGGCCACUCCUGGAACACUGUGCUCAGUUGUGGCCCAUGCUGUACAGAAAAGGUGUGGGAGAGGGCCCAGAGAAGGAAGGGCCCCAGAGAUGACCCAAGGACUGGGAAAGCUGCCAGGUGAGGAAAGGCUGAGAGCCCCGGGUUUGUCCAGCCUUGAGAAAAAAGAACGUUAUCCCCAUAAUCUGGGCUGGCUACUGAGAAGAUGGAGAUUCCCUUGGACAGAAAAGAUGAGGGGUAAGGGGUGCAAGUUUUUUUUCCCCUGGGGAUAUUCCAGCUAGACACAAGAGGAUAAUUUUUCUCAGUGAGAAGAAUCAGCCAUUGGCAUAAUCUCCCCAGAGAAGCAGAGGAUUUCUCAACUCUGCACACUUUCAAGAUUCUGUAAGGGUGCUAGGCUGUCUUGUCCCAGAAAGGUUGGACCAGAUGAUCCCUGAGGCCCCUUCCCACCUCAUAUCCCAGGGUCUCCUGCACAAUCUUUCCUUCACCACUGAAUCAACUCCAGGGGAGCCAGCCCAGGCUGGGGCCAGCAAGGAGACCCACAGCAUGUGACAGCCAGCCAGCCACUGUCCCCAGAGGUGCCAUAGCUUGGUAACAGCUUGCUGCACAGGGACUGUGGUACCUCCCCCUCCCAGCUCCAUGGAAGGAUGUUUGGCCAGCUUUCCAUGCCCCAGGAGAGACCUUGGAGGAGGCAGGACAUGUGGUGUGGCACUUGUCCUGUCGGGACCUCUAAAAACAGUGUAAUUAACAAGAGGCAUUUUUCCUGCUGAGAGGUGAAUCCAGUCCCUGUGUGGGUUAUUCAAGCAGACUUGAGAGAAGUUCCAUCAUGGCUGGGUUGAGAGCUAGAGAAGUUCCAGAUAUUUCUUGGUCAGAGUUGCAGGCAUAUUGUUUUUUUAGGACAGACAACAAAAACCUCUCACUUCCCAGAGAUUUUUUUUAAGGGAUCACAGGUGACACUGCUGUGUCCCAAACACAUGGGUUUACGCUUUUUUUAUUCUUGGAGCAGCUGCCAAUCCAUGCUGCUCCAGUGGGAGAUGUUCAUGGGAGAUGCAGAGGCAUCACUCUUUCAAUCAGCCUUAGCUGGUCAGCUUAUU
Molecule: long non-coding RNA, 2525 nt
Organism: Taeniopygia guttata (zebra finch)
Lineage: Eukaryota; Metazoa; Chordata; Aves; Passeriformes; Estrildidae
Source: Ensembl